AAAAACUUAGAAAAUCAUCAUACAUUACUAAACUAUGUAGACCAUUAAUGCUCUGUUUUGUGAUGUAUCUAGUAAGUCAUCCGAAUUCGUGACCUGUGCUAAUUACUACUUUUUAUGAAGAUCCAUUCCUAUUUCCAAAUAAUCCCAUGGAGCUCAAUUUAAUUCUUUUCAUUAUGAUCACCACCGGUCUCUGUUGACAGGAAAUUGAUGUUAAUGAGGCUGAAGAAAAGAAUGAGAAUCAAGAGAAAGUGAUGGUGAACCAAGACGCCGAGAAUUCUUGCCAUAAUAAACGAAGAAAAUUGAACUCAAAGGUUUGGGAUGACUUCACAAAGCGUAAAGGACAAUCUGGAAAAGAAGUGGCUGUAUGCAAUCAUUGUGGGAGGGAAUUUGAUGGUUCAAGCAAGAAAGGAACUACUCAUCUCAAGAACCAUUUACAAAGAUGCCCAGGUAAAAGAAACGGAGAUGUUGAUAAAUUUAUUAAAUCUGUGAUUGAUGCAAUAGGAUUACGGAUGAAUUCUGAGCAUUGGGAUCCAUUAGCGCUAAACUCCAAAAAGGACGAUAUACUCCAAUUUUACAAUAAAGAGAAGGAAAAACUUUGCAGGCUUCUCAAUAAACUCUCAUGUCGUUUUAGCUUAACAAUUGAGUGGUGUGCGAAUUGCUGCCUCUUGGUGGUACAUUAUAUCAAUGAUGGUUGGGAUCCAAUGUGGAAGGUUAUUAGUGUUCAGGAUGUCAGAUUUCCUUACAGUAUUCUGUUAGAAAAUAUGAAACGUUCCUGCUUGGAUUGGCAGAUUGAUAGGGAUAUAUGUAUGGUAAUUACCACGGGCGAUAAUGUGAUUAGUGAGAUUAACAGCUGGGUUUGUGAAAGGGGUUCACUUCACUUUGGUGGGCAGAUGAUGGCUAUUGGUGGCUUGGUUGAAAUUCUUCUCACUUUUGUUGAGAAUUUAUCAUCCCGCACAUGUGAUACAGUUGGAAUAAGGCGGUGUUUUCGUGAUGUCUUUAAGAGUACUCCAUCGAAUGAACAUAAAUUUCGAAAGAUUUCAGCUGCUAAAGUUAAGUCCAUGGGCAAUAAAACUUACGGCUUUGAACAGCUUGAGAUAGCCGUGGGUCUUAAGAAAGUUCUUUGUGAGCUUGUGAAUGCAGAUUCUAAUUUCAAGUCAAUGAAUUUAACAAAGGAAGACUGGCAUAAGGCGACUGUCGCAUAUGAGCGUAUAAAAGCCUUACACGAUGUAGCGUGCAGUUUAUCAGAGAGCAAAUGUAAAACGGCAAAUGCAUAUUUCCCAAAGGUAUGUGACAUAUAUAUGAAAUUGCUUCAAUGGGAAAGAAGUGAAGAUGAUUGUGUCGGCAAGAUAGCCUUGGAAGCAAGAGAAAUAUUUGUUAACAGAUAUUGGAUGAAGUAUGAAUUAAUCCUAGUAAUUGCAGCUGUUCUUGAUCCGCGGUUCAAAAUGGAUAUUGUGCAACUUUGGUACAAAGAGAUUUAUGCUAGUGCUGCUCGCACACAUCUUGAGAAAAUUAAUGGCGAAUUUAAUCGUGUUUAUAAUGAAUAUGCCAAGGGCUCCGGAAAAUCCAGAUCUGGUGAUGCGAGUUCUUCAAUGUCAUUCAAAUUGUUAGACGCUAUGGGUAGACCGUGUACGUUGUCGCAUGGCGUCUUUGAUGACGGUAUCGCUUCACCAAAAUCAGAACUUGAUUGCUAUUUGAACGAGCCUAAAUUUCCCAGAGUUGAAGAGUUUGACAUACUGGCUUGGUGGCGUGUUAACACUCCAAAAUUUCCAACGCUUGCAAGGAUGGCUCGUGAUUUUUUAGCAAUGCCUAUUUCUCCUAGUGCUGCUACUGCAUAUGCUUGCUUCAGUAAAGAAGCUAAGGAUAUUUUUGAUACAGGCCUAGAUAAUGACCUUAUAACUGCCUUGGUGCGUUUAAAAGUAUGGUUGUAAUUAAAGCCUGAAAAAAAAAUUAAAAAACUCUUCUGAGCGGAGUAAGAGCAUCUCCAAAAGCCUCUAUAAAUUUUAAUUUUUAAAUACAUAUUUGCUUACUUAUACGGCAAAUAGAAAGGUGAAAAAAUAUGAUAUUUUCCAAAAGACUUUUCAAAUAGAAAUAAAUUAAUAUUAUUUUAAUCAUAUAAUUAGUUUUUUAAAGGAAAAGUCAAUAGCAAUUAAAUCAUUUCUCUUUCUUUCUUCAAUGAAAAGUAAUAAAAUAUAAAUUGAAAAGGGAGAAAUUAACUCUCCAAAUUUGAAGAGAGAGAAUCAAUUCUUAUUUGAAUAAUUUUAAUUAGAGUGUCUUUUGGAGCUUUAAAUAUUUAUGUGACUUUUCAAAUAAGUAAUAAAAUCUUAUUUAAAGAGCUUUUUGUUGAUGCUCUAAGAGUAUCACCAAAAAACUCUUCAAAUAAGAUUUUAUUACUUAUUUGAAGAGCUAUAUUAACAUUCAAGGCUUCAAAAGACACUCCAAUUAAAAUUCUUCAAAUAAGAAAUGACCAUCUCUUUUUAAAUUUGAAAAGUUACUUUCUCCCUCUUCAAUUUAUAUUUUAUUACUUUUUGUUGAAAAAAAGAGAAAUGUGCUUUAAUUACUAUUGACUUUUCCUUUAAAAAAAUAGUUAUUUAAUUAAAAUAACAUUAACUCAUUUAAAGAGUCUUUUGGAGAACAAUAUCUUUUUUCACUCAUCUAUUUACCACAUAGGUAAGCAAAUGAAUAUUUGAAGAGUAAAAUUUAUAGAGCAUUUUGAAGAUGCUCUAAGUUGUCCUCAAUUUUGCUACUUACCAAAAAUGUUUUUCUUUCAAUAUGCAAAAAUGUAUUAUGAAUCUAAUUGUGAAGUAUCUAAAGUGUUAUCUAAAUUUCUAAUUCAUUUCUCAAUCUCUAAAUUGAAUAUAAUUAUAAAUAAGGUUGGCAAAAUUUGUAUUCGGAUAUGAAUAUCCAUAUCUGCAUUUACAUUUUUAUAUAUGAAUCCGCAAAAAAAAUAUGUGGAUCUGCAUGUGGGUAAUAGCCGCAACGGAUGUGGGUGGAUAUUCCAGAUAUUCGGAUUAACAAUAAUCAAAAUUUGAUAAUUUAAUAUAUAAUUUAAAAAUUCAAUGAUUUAGCUUAUAAUAUAAAAAAAAUUCAAUCAUAAUUCAACAAUUAAUAAUUGAACAUGACUAACAUACAACAACAUCAUAAAUCGAUAAAUAAAAUUCAAUUUUUAGUAUAUCGAAUUCGUGACCUGUGCUAAUUACUAAACCUUUUUAUGAAGAUCCAUUCCAAUUUCCAAAUAAUCCCACAGAGCUCAAUUUAAUUCUUUUCAUUAUGAUCACCACCGGUCUCUGUUGACAGGAAAUCAAUAUUAAUGAGGCUGAAGAACAGAAUGAGAAUCAAGAGAAAGGGAUGUCUCCAGUAAGUCAUCCGAAUUCGUGACCUGUGCUAAUUACUACUUUUUAUGAAGAUCCAUUCCUAUUUCCAAAUAAUCCCAUGGAGCUCAAUUUAAUUCUUUUCAUUAUGAUCACCACCGGUCUCUGUUGACAGGAAAUCAAUAUUAAUGAGGCUGAAGAACAGAAUGAGAAUCAAGAGAGAGUGAUGCAUCUAGUAAGUCAAACGAAUUCGUGACCUGUGCUAAUUACUAAACCUUUUUAUGAAGAUCCGUUCCAAUUUCCAAAUAAUCCCAUGGAGCUUAAUUUAAUUAUUUUUAUUAUGAUCACCACCGGUCUCUGUUGACAGGAAAUUGAUGUUAAUGAGGCUGAAGAAAAGAAUGAGAAUCAAGAGAAAGUGAUGGUGAACCAAGACGCCGAGAAUUCUUGCCAUAAUAAACGAAGAAAAUUGAACUCAAAGGUUUGGGAUGACUUCACAAAGCGUAAAGGACAAUCUGGAAAAGAAGUGGCUGUAUGCAAUCAUUGUGGGAGGGAAUUUGAUGGUUCAAGCAAGAAAGGAACUACUCAUCUCAAGAACCAUUUACAAAGAUGCCCAGGUAAAAGAAACGGAGAUGUUGAUAAAUUUAUUAAAUCUGUGAUUGAUGCAAUAGGAUUACGGAUGAAUUCUGAGCAUUGGGAUCCAUUAGCGCUAAACUCCAAAAAGGACGAUAUACUCCAAUUUUACAAUAAAGAGAAGGAAAAACUUUGCAGGCUUCUCAAUAAACUCUCAUGUCGUUUUAGCUUAACAAUUGAGUGGUGUGCGAAUUGCUGCCUCUUGGUGGUACAUUAUAUCAAUGAUGGUUGGGAUCCAAUGUGGAAGGUUAUUAGUGUUCAGGAUGUCAGAUUUCCUUACAGUAUUCUGUUAGAAAAUAUGAAACGUUCCUGCUUGGAUUGGCAGAUUGAUAGGGAUAUAUGUAUGGUAAUUACCACGGGCGAUAAUGUGAUUAGUGAGAUUAACAGCUGGGUUUGUGAAAGGGGUUCACUUCACUUUGGUGGGCAGAUGAUGGCUAUUGGUGGCUUGGUUGAAAUUCUUCUCACUUUUGUUGAGAAUUUAUCAUCCCGCACAUGUGAUACAGUUGGAAUAAGGCGGUGUUUUCGUGAUGUCUUUAAGAGUACUCCAUCGAAUGAACAUAAAUUUCGAAAGAUUUCAGCUGCUAAAGUUAAGUCCAUGGGCAAUAAAACUUACGGCUUUGAACAGCUUGAGAUAGCCGUGGGUCUUAAGAAAGUUCUUUGUGAGCUUGUGAAUGCAGAUUCUAAUUUCAAGUCAAUGAAUUUAACAAAGGAAGACUGGCAUAAGGCGACUGUCGCAUAUGAGCGUAUAAAAGCCUUACACGAUGUAGCGUGCAGUUUAUCAGAGAGCAAAUGUAAAACGGCAAAUGCAUAUUUCCCAAAGGUAUGUGACAUAUAUAUGAAAUUGCUUCAAUGGGAAAGAAGUGAAGAUGAUUGUGUCGGCAAGAUAGCCUUGGAAGCAAGAGAAAUAUUUGUUAACAGAUAUUGGAUGAAGUAUGAAUUAAUCCUAGUAAUUGCAGCUGUUCUUGAUCCGCGGUUCAAAAUGGAUAUUGUGCAACUUUGGUACAAAGAGAUUUAUGCUAGUGCUGCUCGCACACAUCUUGAGAAAAUUAAUGGCGAAUUUAAUCGUGUUUAUAAUGAAUAUGCCAAGGGCUCCGGAAAAUCCAGAUCUGGUGAUGCGAGUUCUUCAAUGUCAUUCAAAUUGUUAGACGCUAUGGGUAGACCGUGUACGUUGUCGCAUGGCGUCUUUGAUGACGGUAUCGCUUCACCAAAAUCAGAACUUGAUUGCUAUUUGAACGAGCCUAAAUUUCCCAGAGUUGAAGAGUUUGACAUACUGGCUUGGUGGCGUGUUAACACUCCAAAAUUUCCAACGCUUGCAAGGAUGGCUCGUGAUUUUUUAGCAAUGCCUAUUUCUCCUAGUGCUGCUAUUGCAUAUGCUUGCUUCAGUAAAGAAGCUAAGGAUAUUUUUGAUACAGGCCUAGAUAAUGACCUUAUAACUGCCUUGGUGUGUUUAAAAGGAUGGUUGUAAUUAAAGCCUAAAAAAAAAAUUUGAAAAACUCUUUUGAGCGGAGUAAAAGUUGUCCUCAAUUUUGCUACUUACUAAAAAUGUUUUUCUUUCAAUAUGCAAAAAUGUAUUAU
Molecule: long non-coding RNA, 5513 nt
Filed under: Citrus sinensis (sweet orange)
Lineage: Eukaryota; Viridiplantae; Streptophyta; Magnoliopsida; Sapindales; Rutaceae
Description: long non-coding RNA (CSIN_LNC002716)
Source: RNAcentral